ACCGUGAAUGAAAUGCUGCUACGUCACCUCUUGCCCGUUACAUCCUGCAGUGUGACUGGUUACUACCAUUUUCCCAUUAGACCGAGAAGUCCGGAGAAUGCACCUGUAUCCUGUUCAUCUCGACAUCUCCAAAUACUAGCAAAGAUUCAUCACACAGAAGGCCCUCAAUAAAUGCUAAGUGAGUAGAAUAAAAAUACUUUUUUUCUUUCCAAACUCACAUCUGAGCAGUCCCCUUGUGAGGCCACAGUAGGGGGAAAUGACCGACAGAGCAGCCUAAAGGCCUAUCUCUGAAUGUCAAAGCAUUAAGGAAAAGGUAGAGAGUUGAUGUUGGAAUCGGAGGAAUCCAUCUUUCCUGUCCUCUAAAAUCAUCCAGUGAGGCAAGGUACCAACAGAUGCCCCACCCCUCUUACAUUUUAUUGCACAUACCCAGUUGCACCCCUGGAAAACAUUUGUUACAUGAGUUGGCCAGAGAUCUGUCAGAGGCAUAGAUUUCUUGUUUGCUGGCUGUCUGUUCUUUUCUUUUUUUUUUUAAGAGUGCAAGCUUCGUGCUACUCCACGUAGGUUGUUAGGCUUUGCAAAGACAAGACAUAACAAGUAGAGUAAGAGAGGGCUAUAGCUCUCCUCCUAUGAAAGGAAGCCACAGACUGGGGAGGUUUUAAGAAACUCCAGAAAGUGACAUCUACACCUGUAAGUGCAGGUUUCACUGCUGUCUUUGCUGAGUCCUCCGCUUGCUCUGUGCUCUCACAGUGUUUCGUUCAUCCCUCGAGCAAAGCAUUUGUCUUGCUCUGUGAUAGGUAGUUCACGAAUGUCUGUCCCUUUGAGACUCGGAGCUUUCGGAAGGAAGGAGCUUUAUCUUAUUUGUCUCAGGAAGCUGAGUACUUGAAACACGUAAUUUUUGUUAAAAGGGUAGUCCUUAAUGUUUGUUGGAUGGGUGGAUGGAUUUCUCUCUUGCAUAUUUGCUGUGUGGAAAUUAGAACCACACGGCGUCUCUGGCUUCCCUCAAAGCCAGGCAGUGAUCAGGAAGGAUCUGGAAAUAAUAUUGUUCUCCGUCAACAGCAACAGCAGUAUCUCACACUGGCACAGUGUUUUGAAAUGUACCAUGUGUACAGUCCCAACAACAACUCGCCCUUUGGGAUCAAAUCUGCCAGCAGUUCCUGCCUGAAGGACUGGAGGAGCCUGUCAUCUCAGCAGACCGAGGGAGGCAUCCAGAGCCCGAAGCAGUGCGGUCAGUGAAGGGGAAGAGAACAGCCACCUCGCCUGCCCUUCAUCUCGACAACCUCCUGUUGCAGGCGCCUCUCCGCCACUUCAGAGAGGCAUGCCAUCCCACCGUCUGGCCUCAGAAUGCUAACAUCCGGGAAAUUCUACAUUCAUCUUGCUUUGUCCACACCCCGGAUCCUUUGCCCAGCUUGGAGCAAUUUGGUUCCAACCUACAUUUUCAGCUUCAUCACUUGCUGCGACCUGCAGCUAAUGACUUUUUACCUCUGGGCCUUCUCCCACGUAGCUCCCUCUGCCCGGGCUUCUGCCUUCACUUCCUUCUCUCGGAAGACUCCUACACGGCUGUCGGCUCUGCAAGGAAGGCUUCCCACCAUUGUAAGGAACAGAGUCACUUUUAUAAAAUCGUCUAUAAAAAAACAUUCUCUACUCUUUUUUACUUUUGUGAUUUGAUUACUAUUGCACUCAUCUCGGGGGCUUACAGUUAAAUCGUCUUUCCGUACUGUUUCUAGGGCCCCUUCCUCAGGGAUUAAUGAACUUAAUGAAUACCCAUCACAUGCAAGGUGCUCAGAGCAGCAGAAGAAUGACUAACAUCCGGUCUCAGGGUUUCUAGGUCAGCCUAAUUUCCACAGCCAGCAGUGAUCCAGAGGUUGCCUUAGAUGUGGGAGGGAGCCGAGAAAGAGGAAGGCUCUCCUCUUUUUAACCAGAGCAGGGAUGCUUUCGUUUACCAUAUACGUAGGGUUUUAAAACAAGUCUCCUGCCAAAAGCAGUUUGAAAACCACUUCACAACAACAUCGUCCCUUCUGUGAUACUAUAGCCCAUCAGCCAACUCCAUCCCAUGAGCCAAACCCAGACCACCGCCUGUUUUCGUAUGAUGUGUGAGCCAAGAAUGGUUUUUGCAUUUGCAGAUGCUGAAAGUCAAAAAAAAUCGAAAGAAAAUAAUAUUUUGUUACACAAGAAAAUCAGAUGAAAUUCAAAUCUCGGUGUCCAUAGGUACAGUUAGAACAAGCCACGCCUUCAUUUAAGACUUGUCUACAGCCGCUCUUGUGUGACAAUGGCAGAGCUGAGUAGCUGUGAUGGACCAUUUGGUCACAAGCCUAGAAUACUUAGAAUCUGGCCCUUUGCGGGAAUGUCUGCCCAGCCUUGCACAUCCAACUGCCUGAUACACACCUUCAUCCUUCCUUCAUGCCUUCCUUCCCUCUCUGGCCCUUUCUCCUUCCCAGCAAAACUUUAUUAUAGGUUUGUAUUUAGAAUCCAGUUAACUGGGACCCGCAGGUCUACUUUUCGAUGCUAGUGUAUUUUGAUUUUUGACUUGAGGACACGAUACUAUAGUGUCAGCUUCCAAAUUCAAACCACCUAAACUCUUAUCUGCUUUUUUAAUAGCAACCUAUAGUCAGCGUAGCUGGAGGAACUUGAGUGAAUGCUCCCACCGCUCUUAAUACAAGCAUCUGUUAAGUGAAGACUCACUAUUUUCCUGUCCAUUUGGGCUAUGAAAGUCUGGGCCACAGAAAAAGCAGAGCUGAAGUGCACAGACCACUCCACAGCCCCACAGCUACCCGAGGCCCCAGGCAGCUGGCUAGAAGGGCGGAGACAGGAGAAGGUGGAGCAGGGGAAGUUUUGUCCUCUCUGUUGCAGGUGUGGAUUGCUAGAAGGGAUUCAAGGCUAGAGGUCACCUGAGCCCAAGCAUCAGCCAAUGGCUCUUUUAUGCAUCAGGAGUAAGAGACAAUCAGAUACAUUUUAAAGGAGUCUGCUGUCACUGCUAACCAAAGGUAUGCAAAUUUAGACUAUGUUAUGAUGUAUUAAGACAUCAAUUUUAUACCCACUGAAAUCAUUUUAGAGAAAAUUUAACAUCACAAAGCCCAGUGCUUGUAUGACUAGAGGGGAAAAGGAACACACAUAUAUUGGAAAAAUCAUUUUGUCAUGCCUUUUUACCAAGGAGUUCUCCUGGCAACUCAUGCCAAGGCACAUAUUAAAAAAGAAAAAGAAAAAGAAAAAGAAAAA
Non-coding RNA from Vicugna pacos (alpaca), 3213 nucleotides. The record is from RefSeq and is a predicted model, not a curated record. Lineage: Eukaryota; Metazoa; Chordata; Mammalia; Artiodactyla; Camelidae.